UAACAGGGCAGAGCUGGCCCAGGCACCUUCACACCCCAGACCCGCAUGGGGCGCCUUCCAGCUGCUGAGCAGUGUGCCGCAAGCACCAGGCUGGGGGCCGCACCUCUGCCGUGAAAGGCAAGUGGCCGGUGGGCUGGUUUCAGCCAGAGGUUCAGGCCCCCAGCAGGAGCCCAGCUGUGAGGGAGUCUGUAGCCUUGUCACUUCCCUUCUAGGGCUUUCAGGACGGGGAGAGGGGCUCGUGCGCUCUGGGCGGCCCAGGACAGACUCCCGGCUUCCGUGGAGGUCAGAUGCUCCGUGCGUGGUAGCAGGGACUUGCUCGCUUGCACGCACAGGUGAUACCGGCCCCAGCCUGUACCUUGCAUAUUGGUGCGCCCCUGCGGAGCCUCACCCCAUGGCACCUGGGCAAGCCCAGCCCUGCUCCCUGGAGAGCUGCAGCCAACCGAGAGCGUCUGCCUGCAGCCUCUGCGGCCCAAAAUCAAAGGCUGGGUGCUGGCUGUGGAGACAAUUUUGCCUUCGGAUCCAGCCCUUCCGGGUUGCCUGGAGCCUGAAGGCCGGACUUUCCCUCUCAUCCUCAGGCUGCAGAUCAGACCUAGAGACAGAGGCCAGUCUGGUCCCCAGGGACCCUGGCCCUUGCUCCACACAAGCCUCUCCAGGUGCUGCCACCCAGCCAGCGCCCCGGACCCGGGAGAGCAGGAGAUGCUGCUGAAAUGGAAGCACAGCCCAGAGAUGACAGGAAGCUGACAGGAAGCGGGGACCUCAGCCCCGGGACUCUGGCCCAGCGGUGCCCCAGGACAUACCCAUGGGGAUGCACUGAGACCCGUGGGGAGCAGGGGCUGGAGACACAGCCAAAGCCCCGGCAGCUGCCAGAGCCCAGCCCCACUUCCUGGGAGCCUGACGGGGUGCAGGCGCUGCCCUAGCUGGGCACUCUUGCCUUCUGAGCAGGCAUGUGCCAGGCACUACGGCCCGCCCGAGAGAGAGUCACAGGCCUUUUCUUGUUCGUUUUAUCUCCGUGUUACAGACAGCUGUUAGUUUGGGACAUUAAUUGCCUGGGCGAGUCUAUUGAUACUUCUGAUGUAACAGAGCACCGGAGAAGAUGUCCCCACGUCCAAAAUGUCAGAUCUGAGAAGAAGCAGAUUCGGGGACUGGAGACCCCACAGCGCAGACACUGCGAUUUUACUUCAGUGUGAAAUGAGGAGCGAAGAGAGAAGGAUCAGCCGAAAAAAGAAAAAAAGAAAAGUAAAAGGAAAAAAGUACACAAAAGGCAAAACAUCCUCAAAUCGUCAUUUUAUACAGUGCAGAAGGAAACUGAAAAUAUGUGUCUCACAAACGCUGCACCCCGACAGCCGAAAUACUAAAAAAGGCG
Heterocephalus glaber (naked mole-rat) is the source of this 1363-nucleotide non-coding RNA. The record is from RefSeq and is a predicted model, not a curated record. Lineage: Eukaryota; Metazoa; Chordata; Mammalia; Rodentia; Bathyergidae.